AUUGAACGCUGGCGGCAUGCUUUACACAUGCAAGUCGAACGGUAACAGGCCGCAAGGUGCUGACGAGUGGCGAACGGGUGAGUAAUGCAUCGGAACGUGCCCAGUCGUGGGGGGUAACGCAGCGAAAGCUGUGCUAAUACCGCAUACGAUCUAUGGAUGAAAGCGGGGGACCGUAAGGCCUCGCGCGAUUGGAGCGGCCGAUGUCGGAUUAGGUAGUUGGUGGGGUAAAGGCCUACCAAGCCGACGAUCUGUAGCUGGUCUGAGAGGACGACCAGCCACACUGGGACUGAGACACGGCCCAGACUCCUACGGGAGGCAGCAGUGGGGAAUUUUGGACAAUGGGCGCAAGCCUGAUCCAGCAAUGCCGCGUGCAGGAAGAAGGCCUUCGGGUUGUAAACUGCUUUUGUACGGAACGAAACGGUCUGGGUUAAUACCCUGGGCUAAUGACGGUACCGUAAGAAUAAGCACCGGCUAACUACGUGCCAGCAGCCGCCGUAA
RNAcentral lists this ribosomal RNA (498 nucleotides) under uncultured bacterium. RNAcentral's name for it is "partial 16S ribosomal RNA". It matches the Rfam family "Bacterial small subunit ribosomal RNA", at positions 30 to 523 of the family's 1533-position model. The record is from RNAcentral.